UAAUGUUCCGUAGGGUGAACCUGCGGAGGGAUCAUUA
Molecule: ribosomal RNA, 37 nt
Filed under: Trichoderma asperellum
Lineage: Eukaryota; Fungi; Ascomycota; Sordariomycetes; Hypocreales; Hypocreaceae
Description: partial 18S ribosomal RNA
Source: RNAcentral